UUUGACGGAGAGUUUGAUCCUGGCUCAGGACGAACGCUGGCGGCGUGCUUAACACAUGCAAGUCGAACGCUGAAGCUUGGUGCUUGCACUGGGUGGAUGAGUGGCGAACGGGUGAGUAAUACGUGAGUAACCUGCCCUUGACUCUGGGAUAAGCCUGGGAAACUGGGUCUAAUACUGGAUAUGACCUCCUGUCGCAUGGUGGGGGGUGGAAAGGGUUUGUACUGGUUGUGGAUGGGCUCACGGCCUAUCAGCUUGUUGGUGGGGUAAUGGCCUACCAAGGCGACGACGGGUAGCCGGCCUGAGAGGGUGACCGGCCACACUGGGACUGAGACACGGCCCAGACUCCUACGGGAGGCAGCAGUGGGGAAUAUUGCACAAUGGGCGCAAGCCUGAUGCAGCGACGCCGCGUGAGGGAUGACGGCCUUCGGGUUGUAAACCUCUUUCAGCACGGAAGAAGCGAAAGUGACGGUACGUGCAGAAGAAGCGCCGGCUAACUACGUGCCAGCA
This 507-nucleotide ribosomal RNA is filed under the name Kocuria marina. RNAcentral describes it as "bacterial SSU rRNA". It matches the Rfam family "Bacterial small subunit ribosomal RNA", at positions 1 to 513 of the family's 1533-position model. Lineage: Bacteria; Bacillati; Actinomycetota; Actinomycetes; Micrococcales; Micrococcaceae. The record is from RNAcentral.